GACCCAUGGCAGAGGUAUCUUUUCCUCGCGAACUCCAGCCCAGCGAAAUACAGAGAAAAGAGGCCUCUGCUAGCAGGGAAAGUCAGUAGCAACUUUAAGUAGAAAUUGAUUGUUAACUUAAAUUCCUUUAAAUGUAGUAUUGACUUUAAGUAACUUUCUUUGCCUUUAUCGAAAACUUAUUAUCUUUAGGAGAUUUAAGUGUCUUUCAUUAGUUCUAAAUUUCAUCAUAUUCGUUGGACUUAGAAAAUAUUUACCGUAGUUUAGAAGUUAAUUUCGUUUCUAAACAUAAUAUUUUUUUGGCUAAUAUCAGGAACGUUUUAUAAAACGCAUAUAAAUAGCUCUAAGAAUAUUCGGUUUCUUGUUUAACCAAGUGAUUUGUAUUUUGGGAGAAAGAAAAAACGAUGAAAAAUUGAUAUUCGCAUUAUUUUAGGAUUACUUUGCCUUUAGCAGUAAUAAUAACAGCUUCACCGGCGGAGAGGAAGUCAGUCAUAUGCGAGAGGAAGUGACGCACAAGCGUAUCUAUUGUUUUCCCUUCACGUGACCACCACGGCGGGCUAUUCGCAUAGCGUAUUUAGAAGUGUGACUUUGGUACAACUAACUUCUCUCUAUAUCCACGCAAAAAGAUGCGCUAUUUCUUUAAAUGACACCAAAUCGCUCGGCAAAGCCUACCAAUGAAAACAUGUUGAUCACAUAACCUUCAAGUUUGGAGGGAAAACAGAGCUUUAAAAGCGGGAAAUCAGCGACUGCGUGCGUGAGGUGAGAAUUCAACAGUGAAGACAGAACUCGCUGAAAUUGUCGCCGAAAGGGAGCCUCAGAUACUUUCAGCUGCAUUAAACAGUAUUUCCAAAGCCUGAAGGAUGACAUAAAUAAAAAGUAUGAUGGGACGCUGGAUGCUUAUAGGAAAUCAUGCAGACAGUACCAGACGGUCAUCAUAAAACAGCAGAAAGUCCUAAAUGCUGUGGAGACUAUCAACUGGCCAGAGGAGAAGGAGAGGUUUGCUGAUGUUCUGAAUGAUGUACACAACAUUUCAUCGGAGAAGAGCGAGGAAGAGGGAGAUGGGGUUGUCUUCUUCGUUAAAUCAUUGAAAAGGGCGAAAAAUGAGCUUAGAAUUUUGAAGGAGUUAGAGAGCCAUCACUGAGAAUGUAACUUAGUCGCAGGGCUUUGCUCAAGAUGGCAAAGAGAGUGAGAGGAGUAAGACGAUCAGACAGACCCUGUCCAGAGAACACCAAGAAAUAUGCAGUAUUAAAGCGAACCUCCAAUAAGAUGCUUGGCGGCAGUGCACCAAGACCUCUACAUACCUCUACCCCGCAGCGUCCAACACAAUCAAAUAGUAUGUAGUCCAAAUUUGUCAGCAGGGAAUAGGGUUAUGUAAGCCUAUUUCUUUUUAUAUCAUCAAUACAAAAUAUAUUUUUUUAAAUCAAAUACUAUUUACAAGGCUCUUUUUGGCUAGAGCUUUUCAGCCUUUUAAAAUUUAAAUAAUUUUCAUGAUGUUUUUGUCCCUAUUCUACAUUUUUAUAUACAUAAAAAACAUUGAUUAUUUCCUACUUUCAUAAAUAUGCUUUUGAGUCAAGCUGACUGUUUGAUUUUUGUUCUACUUUAGUUUUUAUAGUUAGCAUUUUCACAUAAAAGAUAGCUUUUUAGAUGUAAGUUAUAAGAAUUGUAUAUCAUAUCAGAUUUCGUGCCAUUAUGCACAUGUAAGAGACGACUGAGGAUUUAAAUAAAAAUAGAAUGAAAGCUUAA
This is a long non-coding RNA of Nematostella vectensis (starlet sea anemone), 1740 nucleotides long. RefSeq lists it as uncharacterized. The transcript has 3 exons. The record is from RefSeq and is a predicted model, not a curated record. NCBI's taxonomy places the organism in Eukaryota, Metazoa, Cnidaria, Anthozoa, Actiniaria, Edwardsiidae.